This 500-nucleotide ribosomal RNA is filed under the name Chromobacterium sp. RNAcentral's name for it is "bacterial SSU rRNA". It matches the Rfam family "Bacterial small subunit ribosomal RNA", at positions 840 to 1339 of the family's 1533-position model. The record is from RNAcentral. Lineage: Bacteria; Pseudomonadati; Pseudomonadota; Betaproteobacteria; Neisseriales; Chromobacteriaceae.
UUGGUAGCGAAGCUAACGCGAGAAGUUGACCGCCUGGGGAGUACGGCCGCAAGGUUAAAACUCAAAGGAAUUGACGGGGACCCGCACAAGCGGUGGAUGAUGUGGAUUAAUUCGAUGCAACGCGAAAAACCUUACCUGGUCUUGACAUGUAACGAACGCUGCAGAGAUGUGGCGGUGCCCGAAAGGGAGCGUUAACACAGGUGCUGCAUGGCUGUCGUCAGCUCGUGUCGUGAGAUGUUGGGUUAAGUCCCGCAACGAGCGCAACCCUUGCCAUUAGUUGCCAUCAUUAAGUUGGGCACUCUAAUGGGACUGCCGGUGACAAACCGGAGGAAGGUGGGGAUGACGUCAAGUCCUCAUGGCCCUUAUGACCAGGGCUUCACACGUCAUACAAUGGUCGGUACAGAGGGUCGCGAAGCCGCGAGGUGGAGCCAAUCUCAUAAAACCGAUCGUAGUCCGGAUCGCACUCUGCAACUCGAGUGCGUGAAGUCGGAAUCGCUAGU